RNAcentral lists this ribosomal RNA (305 nucleotides) under uncultured bacterium. RNAcentral describes it as "bacterial SSU rRNA". It matches the Rfam family "Bacterial small subunit ribosomal RNA", at positions 335 to 637 of the family's 1533-position model. The record is from RNAcentral.
UGUCCUACGGGGGGCAGCAGUAGGGAAUCUUCCACAAUGGGCGAAAGCCUGAACCAGCCAAGUCGCGUGAGGGAAGACGGCCCUACGGGUUGUAAACCUCUUUUGCCGGGGAGCAAGCCUGAGCACGUGUGCCCAGGCGGAGAGUACCCGGAGAAAAAGCAUCGGCUAACUCCGUGCCAGCAGCCGCGGUAAUACGGAGGAUGCGAGCGUUAUCCGGAUUUAUUGGGUUUAAAGGGUGCGCAGGCGGGCUGUUAAGCCGGCGGUAAAAAUUCAGGGCUCAACCCUGGCGAGCCGUCGGAACUGGC